AUGUUGAUGCAAGACUACUUCGCUGAGAAUCCAACAUAUCCACCGCACCUCUUUCGGAGAAGGUAUCGAAUGCGUCGAUCCCUCUUUGUGAAAAUUGUUCAAGCUUGCGAAGCAAAUUGUCGGUAUUUUACUCAAAACAGAAAUGUCGCGGGCUUGAAGGGAUUUAGUGCAUAUCAAAAAAUCUCGACAGCUAUGCGUGUGAUUGCAUAUGGUGUUCCGGCUGACUAUGCCGAUGAGUACCUUCGCAUUGGUGAAGAUACCACAAUUGAGUCAGUGCGUAGGUUCGCCAAAGUGAUCAUCCGUGUCUUUGGUCCUGAAUAUCUUCGGGCACCCAACGAGGAUAACACAAAGAAAUUGAUGUCAUCUAAUGAGAGAAGAGGUUGGUGUGGCAUGCUAGGCAGCAUUGGACUUGGAAAAAUUGCCCGAAGGCAUGGCAGGGAAUGUAUCGUGGCAAGUCUCGUGAUGCAACAAUUGUGCUAG
This 480-nucleotide ribosomal RNA is filed under the name Triticum aestivum (bread wheat). RNAcentral describes it as "partial small subunit ribosomal RNA". The record is from RNAcentral. Lineage: Eukaryota; Viridiplantae; Streptophyta; Magnoliopsida; Poales; Poaceae.